GUGGGGGAUAACGUAGCGAAAGUUACGCUAAUACCGCAUACGAUCUAAGGAUGAAAGUGGGGGAUCGCAAGACCUCAUGCUCGUGGAGCGGCCGAUAUCUGAUUAGCUAGUUGGUAGGGUAAAAGCCUACCAAGGCAUCGAUCAGUAGCUGGUCUGAGAGGACGACCAGCCACACUGGAACUGAGACACGGUCCAGACUCCUACGGGAGGCAGCAGUGGGGAAUUUUGGACAAUGGGCGAAAGCCUGAUCCAGCAAUGCCGCGUGAGUGAAGAAGGCCUUCGGGUUGUAAAGCUCUUUUGUCAGGGAAGAAACGGUGAGAGCUAAUAUCUUUUGCUAAUGACGGUACCUGAAGAAUAAGCACCGGCUAACUACGUGCCAGCAGCCGCGGUAAUACGUAGGGUGCAAGCGUUAAUCGGAAUUACUGGGCGUAAAGCGUGCGCAGGCGGUUUUGUAAGUCUGAUGUGAAAUCCCCGGGCUCAACCUGGGAAUUGCAUUGGAGACUGCAAGGCUAGAAUCUGGCAGAGGGGGGUAGAAUUCCACGUGUAGCAGUGAAAUGCGUAGAUAUGUGGAGGAACACCGAUGGCGAAGGCAGCCCCCUGGGUCAAGAUUGACGCUCAUGCACGAAAGCGUGGGGAGCAAACAGGAUUAGAUACCCUGGUAGUCCACGCCCUAAACGAUGUCUACUAGUUGUCGGGUCUUAAUUGACUUGGUAACGCAGCUAACGCGUGAAGUAGACCGCCUGGGGAGUACGGUCGCAAGAUUAAAACUCAAAGGAAUUGACGGGGACCCGCACAAGCGGUGGAUGAUGUGGAUUAAUUCGAUGCAACGCGAAAAACCUUACCUACCCUUGACAUGGCUGGAAUCCUCGAGAGAUUGAGGAGUGCUCGAAAGAGAACCAGUACACAGGUGCUGCAUGGCUGUCGUCAGCUCGUGUCGUGAGAUGUUGGGUUAAGUCCCGCAACGAGCGCAACCCUUGUCAUUAGUUGCUACGAAAGGGCACUCUAAUGAGACUGCCGGUGACAAACCGGAGGAAGGUGGGGAUGACGUCAAGUCCUCAUGGCCCUUAUGGGUAGGGCUUCACACGUCAUACAAUGGUACAUACAGAGCGCCGCCAACCCGCGAGGGGGAGCUAAUCGCAGAAAGUGUAUCGUAGUCCGGAUUGUAGUCUGCAACUCGACUGCAUGAAGUUGGAAUCGCUAGUAAUCGCGGAUCAGCAUGUCGCGGUGAAUACGUUCCCGGGUCUUGUACACACCGCCCGUCACACCAUGGGAGCGGGUUUUACCAGAAGUAGGUAGCUUAA
Molecule: ribosomal RNA, 1301 nt
Filed under: Janthinobacterium sp.
Lineage: Bacteria; Pseudomonadati; Pseudomonadota; Betaproteobacteria; Burkholderiales; Oxalobacteraceae
Description: bacterial SSU rRNA
Rfam family: Bacterial small subunit ribosomal RNA
Source: RNAcentral